UCAUCUUGCAGGAACUGCUGACACACUCCAGCCACAUGAGGUCUAGCAUUGUCCUGCAUUAGGAGAAUCCCAGGGCCAACCACACCAGCAUAUGGUCUCUGUGGUGGAUGCUUCUACCACCACCACAAAUUGUCAGUAUUGUUUCAUUGUUUUACAUUUAUCAGUUUCAGAUGACACUAUACAUAAGUUCAAGUUAUUUUAUUUAGACAGAUUUUCUAAUGGGUGCACACUUUAGUUAGGAUUUGUCUGAAUGGUUUACUUAUACUUGUUUUUUUUUGUUGAGGUUCUGCAAACGCAGACCAGCUGGAGGUGGAAGCCAGGAACAUACCAUUAUUCCAAAAGACUGAGGGGGGGGGGGGCUUAACUUCUUAACUUGUUAAAGUUGUUAGUUAUUUUGUCACUUUAGUAUUCACUUAUUUGUGUUAAGUUAAAGAUUAAUUUGUGUCAUUUAUGUUUGUUAAUUUUGUAUGUAUUUUUUUUCCAUUUGUCGUUCCUCUUGUGUUGUGCCUUCCCCAUUUGGUGAGUCUAGGUUAUUCCACCCCUAUUUAAGUAGCCUUUGUUUUUUUGUCUUGAGGUCAGUUUUGUUUGAGUUUUGUUGCUGUUCAGUUGACCUCAGCUGAGUUGGUCCCAAACUCAUGUCAUUUAUUAUCUGAGUUAUUUUUGUAUUGAAGUUGACCUUUUGUUAACUAUUUUUGACAGUAUUAAAUUGAUGUUUUUCCAAUUUUUGAACACCUUUUGUCCUUGCUUAAGUCUGGUCCACCACAGUUGGUGUCAGGAGUGGGAUUUAAUCAGUUAAGGACAUUGGUGUUUUUUAUUUUUUCCUGGUUUUGACCAUUUUUGCAAGAAGAGGAAGAAAUGCCUGGAAGGGAAAGAGGACAAAUAACAGGAGGAUCCAGCUCUGAGCCAGAUGAAAGAGAUGCUGUUGAGGAAGGUGGACCUGUUGGUGGAGUGUUUGACAUGGAAGAGAAGGGGAGUGAACCAACACUAUCAGAUUUGGCUGGUCUUCUCAGAGCCCAUCUAGGACAACAGAAGGCCAAGGAGGACUACUGGACAGAGAAGCUGCUAAGCAAGAACAGAAAUUUGAGGAACUGGAAAAACAGUUCAGCUUGUUUAGAAGUGAGAUUCAAUCUCAGACCACUUCCCCAGUGCGGCCUACACAACCACCAGAUUCUGGAGUAGCAGCUUCCCCGCAACACAGUCUAUCAGUGCUGUGGGGAGGGUUCUUGGGACUGAGAGGAAAAAAAAGAAGAGGACUCUGGCUGGCCCGCUGGUGCACAAAGUGUUGAUUGGGAGAUACCAUGCAGAGCUGUACCAUGGGGGAGGACCAUGGAGUCAUUUGUUCUUGCAUACGUUCUUUGCUUUGUGAUUUUAUUUUGUUAAUUUUAUGUUUAGUUAUUAUUUAGGUUGAUUCUUAAAAUAACUGUGUUAGUCCCUUUUUGUUAAAGUAGUAAAUGGAUGUUCCCCUUCCCUCCUCCCAUGUGUGUAAGUCUGGUCUCAUCAGCCAGUAUUUAAGCCCUCUUUUUCUUAGUUGUGUGACAGGUCAGUUAAUUAUGUUUGAAUAGUUAGUUGAGGUGGUAUUAUGUUAUGAUUUAGUUUCUUCAUUUAACCUAUUUUAAGGGCCCUGCAUUAAUUGUUUGAGUUUUGCUAUUUUAGGUAAAUAAAACCCACUUUUUUUAAAAAUUA
Molecule: long non-coding RNA, 1683 nt
Organism: Girardinichthys multiradiatus
Lineage: Eukaryota; Metazoa; Chordata; Actinopteri; Cyprinodontiformes; Goodeidae
Exons: 2
Source: RefSeq, a predicted model, not a curated record